AUUGCUUCUCGGCCUUUUGGCUAAGAUCAAGUGUAGUAUCUGUUCUUAUCAAAUGCAACAUUCACACAGGAAAGAACACAAACUUUAAGUAUAUAGUUUGACCAAUUUUUACGAAGUUGAUACACUUCUAUAAUCUCCAUGCAAUUGAAGAUAUAGAACAUUAUU
This 165-nucleotide small nuclear RNA is filed under the name Panthera leo (lion). Its description in RNAcentral is "U2 spliceosomal RNA (ENSPLOG00000003008.1)". The stretch from base 1 to 128 matches the Rfam family "U2 spliceosomal RNA". From Rfam's summary of the family: U2 is a small nuclear RNA (snRNA) component of the spliceosome (involved in pre-mRNA splicing). Complementary binding between U2 snRNA (in an area lying towards the 5' end but 3' to hairpin I) and the branchpoint sequence (BPS) of the intron results the bulging out of an unpaired adenosine, on the BPS, which initiates a nucleophilic attack at the intronic 5' splice site, thus starting the first of two transesterification reactions that mediate splicing. The record is from RNAcentral. Lineage: Eukaryota; Metazoa; Chordata; Mammalia; Carnivora; Felidae.